RNAcentral lists this ribosomal RNA (399 nucleotides) under Triticum aestivum (bread wheat). RNAcentral's name for it is "partial small subunit ribosomal RNA". The record is from RNAcentral. Lineage: Eukaryota; Viridiplantae; Streptophyta; Magnoliopsida; Poales; Poaceae.
AUGCGAGCGUCGCCGGCGACCGACGACAAGCGGCGGACCGGCGAAGCGAGCGCCACAUCAGGGGAAGGUGGUCACCAGCAAGUCCACGGGGCGGGGGGUGGGUGUGGUGAGUUGCUUGCGCGCGCGACCAGGGAGAAGAGGGAGUUGGGCGUGGCGGCGGCCGACGGGGGACGAGGCUCUCUGCUACGUGCACGAACAGAGAAGUCAAGUGCAAGACAUAGGCAACAUAAAAUUUCAAGAGCCAGCAUCUUCUCUAUCAUCCAGUUCUACAGGGAAGAGGGGAGGCAAGAACAUGAGGGGGAGAUUUUGUGCAAGAUCAAGUUUCGCAGCACAUGGUACAGGAGGCAUUUUUGCAGCUUGUAUAUCACACAGGGAUGUACAGAGGUGGAGUUCCACUAG